This 73-nucleotide transfer RNA is filed under the name Candidatus Levyibacteriota bacterium. RNAcentral's name for it is "tRNA-Ala". It matches the Rfam family "tRNA". From Rfam's summary of the family: Transfer RNA (tRNA) molecules are approximately 80 nucleotides in length. Their secondary structure includes four short double-helical elements and three loops (D, anti-codon, and T loops). Further hydrogen bonds mediate the characteristic L-shaped molecular structure. tRNAs have two regions of fundamental functional importance: the anti-codon, which is responsible for specific mRNA codon recognition, and the 3' end, to which the tRNAs corresponding amino acid is attached (by aminoacyl-tRNA synthetases). tRNAs cope with the degeneracy of the genetic code in two manners: having more than one tRNA (with a specific anti-codon) for a particular amino acid; and 'wobble' base-pairing, i.e. permitting non-standard base-pairing at the 3rd anti-codon position. The record is from RNAcentral. Lineage: Bacteria; Candidatus Levyibacteriota.
GGGCUCGUAGCUCAGUUGGUAGAGCGCCGCAUUCGCAUUGCGGAGAUCGGGAGUUCGAAUCUCCUCGAGUCCA